AGAUCUAACUGCACUUUAUAUAUGGCUGGCGAUCAGACAGUAACCCUUUUCUGAGUUUAGGGUCUACAAUCCUUUCAGAUUAGACCUCAAAUGGACACAUCCUGUACGUGGACAGCAGAGCUAUGGAAAACAAGAGGGAUGCAUUUGUAACCCUCUGUUUACAUUGCAUCCUAACUUCUUCAGCAGCUGAGUCCUUGUCAAGCCAAAAGGAGUGAUAGUAGAAAAUUACAUUCGUACAGCCAACAUUUAAUUGUUGACAUAUAGAAAAUACGUUUUCAGUUAAUUUCUUAAUUAUAGGUGAGAUCUAUGUUCCCAGCCCAAAUACUUGAUGGGUGUCUAUUUAAUAAUGUGAAUAUUUAGUUUGCUUUCACUGAAGGAGUGCAGGUCAUAAGACAUACUUACCACCAACAUAACCCUCUACAACGAUCCUGAUUAUUCUGCUUAACUGAUCUCUGGGCACUGUAUAAUAUUGACUGGAAAGGCACAAAAGAACAUUCCUUGCUUUUCUGCUGUUUGUGAGUGGACAUGGCAAGGAAGAAAAUCCUUUCACCUUUGCACAAUCAAAGCUGCUUUUGGUCUUUUGGAUAAUGUCAGACUAAUCAUUGAGUCAAGAGAUUGGACCAAAUCUUUAACAAUUCAGAGUAAAAUGAAUUCAGGGCUCCCUUAUUCUCAAGGGUCCCCAGGCUAUUUUCCCCAAAAUGUACAGGUAUUGUGAGUAACUUAUUACUAGGUGUCUUGUCUCUUUCCUGUCUAAACCUGCAGUUCACAGUGCAAGGCCGGCACAGAGUGUGAGACUGUACUCUUUAUAUACUGGAUUUUAAAUCACUGGAACAAAGAAAUGUAAAAUGUGGAAAUGUGAGAGCUGAUCAUAUUAACUGAAGCUAUUGUUCCACAAAUUUUAGGAGAUUGUAUCCAGUAGCAGAGAAAUUGGUUCAUGGUUAGUAGAUUCUGACAAAAGAUUGUUUUUUUAUACUAUUUACUUAUUUCUGAAAAUAACAAAAAGCUUGUUUAAAAAAUUUUUAUUUUUAAAAGUCUACCCAGUUAACUCGCUUGACUAGAUCAGAGUGCUACUGAGAAAAAAGUUUUAGCUUCCUUCUCUUCACAAAUACCUUUACUUAACGUCUUGCCUUUCAGUGCUAGUUAAUCAGCAGGCAAGUGAGACUCGCUAAAAACUGUGGGUGGUGGAAUGGAUCCUCCGCACUGAGAGGACAGAACAACACGUGCCAUUUUCUAAUCAUUGCAGCCUGUGAACCUCUCUAAAUAGGCAAAUGAGGCCAAGGGCGAUGGAGGGUCAAUGAGAGCUCGCGGGGUGACGCCAUUCUGCUGGGGUUCUGGAGAGGCCAAAGCUGGAGACGGUCCCGUUUGUGGUCAGCACGGCCUUUUACUUUGUGGCCGUGACUGGCAACUGCACCAACGUCCUCCUCUCCCUCCCACUGCACACUCCCACUUCCUCAGCGACCGGGCCCUUCUCCACCUCCUGCCACAGCACUCGCAGCUUCUCCUAAGUGCUAGUCAACCUCGGGGGCUCAUGCAAAUCCAUGGCCCGCGUGGGUGUGUGUGCGGCGCGGCCCUCUGAAGCCUCUGGCUCCUGGUCUGGUCUGGCCGCGCCGGCUCCGGGGGCUGCCAUUCCGCCCUGACGUCGCCGCGUACACGUACUUGGGGCGGGUGCGGUCACCGCUGCCUCUGCCAGUUCGUGUGCGGGACGCCGGCCAUCACCGCAUUUCCGAGUGGACGCCGGCAGGGUGGAAGGCCUGGCUGUCCCCGGCCACCCCAGCCCCUGGCGCCUCUCGCGCGACUUGGCGUCGGCGCCUCGGGGGCGGUGCACUGCUGCUCAUGCGGUCUCAGCGCCCGGCCUUCCCGCGCGGCUGCCGCCCUUUCCACAGCGCCGCCGUCUGCACUAGCGCCGCACCCGCUUCAACCGCCUGCAACCGCCGCUGAAUUCCCUCAUCCACACGCUGAGAGGACGAGAAAGGCGCCCUGGGGAAGGCUCUCGGGAAAGCCCGCAGCCGCUGGACGCGGGGGGACAUGGAGGUGGACUGACUGCCCCAUGUCCUUCAAAGUUAAUUGCAAAAGAGUUCAUUGCAAGAGAUGAUGUGCUGGUGGAAAGAGAGAUGCUGCUGCUUAUUUCCUCAGUGGGGUUUUACAGGCAGAUAAUGACUGCUUUGCAGCUCAUUUGUGAUUCUGAUUCCACUGAGCGGUAAUGUCAAUAUUAGAUCAGAUACAAGAGUAAGGAGACAGCAUGGCAGAAACGCACGUGUGUGUCUGUGGUGAGUGUUUUCUGGGGUACACUUGUUCCUUCCCACGGGCCCUUUUGUUCUGAAUUUUCCAGACCCCUGUGCAGAUGACACUGUUACUUUCUCAUGCUGUUACCUGCCCCCUCAGGCCCUAAGCAGGUAACAUGUACCUGCCUAAGAGCAGUGUUUCCUUUACAUUUCAAGUUAUAUACCACUUACAACAUCAAUUUAAAUGCGGCAAACAUUCGUUAUUCUAGGUUAGCAUAAAAUGGAUUAGAAAAUUUCACAGAGGACUAUGCAUGGUAGUGAGUCAGUUGUGUGUAUGUGUGUGUGAAAUGUGUUUCUUACACCAAUAUAAAAGUUUGAAAGUCACUGCUUUAGAGAGUUGCUGUUGGAACAAGCUUCCAAGCAACCCAUACGUCUGUACUAGAGGAAAAUCUAGGAAUAUCACUUUAAGGAAACAUAGGGUCGUGUGUGGGAAGAUAUGGACUCAAAGAGUUUGUAGAGCAAGGAAAUCACAACUGCUUAGCGUGGGAGAGUUUGCCAGGAUAAACGAUGAUGAUAUGUUGACAGUGAUAAUGUUAAUCAUGCUAAUUAUGAUAAAAAUGAAACUUUUUUCAACUCAUGCAUUUUCACCUUUUGACAUUUCUUAAGUAGGAAUGUUUUAAGAUUUAGUGGCAAGUCAUAGUUUUUACUUCAUAUUUUCCUUUAAAAUUUACACUAAAAGAUAAAGGUGAGCUUCUCUGAUUACUCUAAAAAUAAAUGAAAUUGCAUCUAUUUCCACGAACUACUUAGUUCCUGUAAUGGCUAGUUUUGUGUCAAUGUGACUAGGCUGUAGUACUCAGAUAUUUGGUCAAAUACCAGUCUGAGUGUUGCUGUGAAAGUAUUUUUUUCAGAUGACAUUAACAUUUAGAUCGGUAGACUUUGAAUAAAGUAGAUUACCCUCCAUGAUGUGGAUGGGCCUGAUCCAAUUCAGUUGAAGGCCUUAAGAGAAAACAGACUCAGGUCCUACAAGGAAGGAGGAGUUCUUACAUCUGCUUUCAAGCUACAGCUGUAACAUCAACUUUUCUCAGAGUCUCCAGCCUGCCCUGAAGAGUUCUGAUUUGCCAACCCCCAUAAGUGAGUUAGCCAGUUUCUUCAAAUAAUUACCCCCACCUCUACACACACACACACACACACACACACACACACACACACACACACACACACACACACAUCUUCUGAUUCUGUUUCUCUGGAGACCCCUAGUACAGUUGUACUACAAACUUCCCAGAAGUUAUAGAAAAUAAAGCACAUCUUGAUCAAAUUUGGAUACGUUUUUGCCUUUUUUUUAAAGCCUUAAACUCUUUAGGUUAAUGCGUAGUUUUCAAGUUUCUUUUCUCAUGUUCAAAUAGCUGUUUCUUCAAGCAGGACAAUCUUUCCUUAUAUUUUCAGUUCAGAUUUCCUCAUUGGAUUAUUAGAGGUUAAAAAAAUUAUGGACAUUGCAAAAAGGGAAAAAGGGAAAUCAACUUACGUCUAUACUACUUUAUCUUCUGAUUUCUGAAAGGGAAAAGAAGUUUGUUGCAAUCUUCUGUGUUUCUUAUUAAGCCUCUGAAUUUUUUCACUGCUCUGUCUUAUAGUUUUAGUAUGCUUAGCCUGGUGUGUACUAGACAUUGCCUCUGGCACUACACCACAUGCAUUUAGUGUGGGCCUAUAUAAACUUAGUCAAGCAACUGUGUUAGAAAAAAAAUUUUAUUCUGUGAUGAAAUAAAUCUUUUAGAAUUUGAAUUUA
This is a long non-coding RNA of Pongo pygmaeus (Bornean orangutan), 4005 nucleotides long. RefSeq lists it as uncharacterized. The record is from RefSeq and is a predicted model, not a curated record. The transcript has 2 exons. NCBI's taxonomy places the organism in Eukaryota, Metazoa, Chordata, Mammalia, Primates, Hominidae.